UGGCUCAGAUUGAACGCUGGCGGCAUGCCUUACACAUGCAAGUCGAACGGCAGCACGGGUGCUUGCACCUGGUGGCGAGUGGCGAACCGGGUGAGUAAUACAUCGGAACAUGUCCUGUAGUGGGGGAUAGCCCGGCGAAAGCCGGAUUAAUACCGCAUACGAUCUAUGGAUGAAAGCGGGGGACCUUCGGGCCUCGCGCUAUAGGGUUGGCCGAUGGCUGAUUAGCUAGUUGGUGGGGUAAAGGCCUACCAAGGCGACGAUCAGUAGCUGGUCUGAGAGGACGACCAGCCACACUGGGACUGAGACACGGCCCAGACUCCUACGGGAGGCAGCAGUGGGGAAUUUUGGACAAUGGGCGAAAGCCUGAUCCAGCAAUGCCGCGUGUGUGAAGAAGGCCUUCGGGUUGUAAAGCACUUUUGUCCGGAAAGAAAUCCUUGGCUCUAAUACAGUCGGGGGAUGACGGUACCGGAAGAAUAAGCACCGGCUAACUACGUGCCAGCAGCCGCGGUAAUACGUAGGGUGCAAGCGUUAAUCGGAAUUACUGGGCGUAAAGCGUGCGCAGGCGGUUUGCUAAGACCGAUGUGAAAUCCCCGGGCUCAACCUGGGAACUGCAUUGGUGACUGGCAGGCUAGAGUAUGGCAGAGGGGGGUAGAAUUCCACGUGUAGCAGUGAAAUGCGUAGAGAUGUGGAGGAAUACCGAUGGCGAAGGCAGCCCCCUGGGCCAAUACUGACGCUCAUGCACGAAAGCGUGGGGAGCAAACAGGAUUAGAUACCCUGGUAGUCCACGCCCUAAACGAUGUCAACUAGUUGUUGGGGAUUCAUUUCCUUAGUAACGUAGCUAACGCGUGAAGUUGACCGCCUGGGGAGUACGGUCGCAAGAUUAAAACUCAAAGGAAUUGACGGGGAGCCGCACAAGCGGUGGAUGAUGUGGAUUAAUUCGAUGCAACGCGAAAAACCUUACCUACCCUUGACAUGGUCGGAAUCCUGCUGAGAGGCGGGAGUGCUCGAAAGAGAACCGGCGCACAGGUGCUGCAUGGCUGUCGUCAGCUCGUGUCGUGAGAUGUUGGGUUAAGUCCCGCAACGAGCGCAACCCUUGUCCUUAGUUGCUACGCAAGAGCACUCUAAGGAGACUGCCGGUGACAAACCGGAGGAAGGUGGGGAUGACGUCAAGUCCUCAUGGCCCUUAUGGGUAGGGCUUCACACGUCAUACAAUGGUCGGAACAGAGGGUUGCCAACCCGCGAGGGGGAGCUAAUCCCAGAAAACCGAUCGUAGUCCGGAUUGCACUCUGCAACUCGAGUGCAUGAAGCUGGAAUCGCUAGUAAUCGCGGAUCAGCAUGC
RNAcentral lists this ribosomal RNA (1339 nucleotides) under Burkholderia sp. Its description in RNAcentral is "bacterial SSU rRNA". It matches the Rfam family "Bacterial small subunit ribosomal RNA", at positions 20 to 1357 of the family's 1533-position model. Lineage: Bacteria; Pseudomonadati; Pseudomonadota; Betaproteobacteria; Burkholderiales; Burkholderiaceae. The record is from RNAcentral.